UACGGAGGAUCCAAGCGUUAUCCGGAAUCAUUGGGUUUAAAGGGUCCGUAGGCGGUUUUGUAAGUCAGUGGUGAAAGCCCAUCGCUCAACGGUGGAACGGCCAUUGAUACUGCAAGACUUGAAUUAUUAGGAAGUAACUAGAAUAUGUAGUGUAGCGGUGAAAUGCUUAGAUAUUACAUGGAAUACCAAUUGCGAAGGCAGGUUACUACUAAUAUAUUGACGCUGAUGGACGAAAGCGUGGGGAGCGAACAGG
This 253-nucleotide ribosomal RNA is filed under the name uncultured bacterium. RNAcentral's name for it is "partial 16S ribosomal RNA". It matches the Rfam family "Bacterial small subunit ribosomal RNA", at positions 524 to 776 of the family's 1533-position model. The record is from RNAcentral.